GGCUGUGUAGCUCAGUGGUAGAGCACUUACCUCAAGUGUAUGAAGCACUGGGUUCAAUUCCAGCACCA
Molecule: transfer RNA, 68 nt
Filed under: Ictidomys tridecemlineatus (thirteen-lined ground squirrel)
Lineage: Eukaryota; Metazoa; Chordata; Mammalia; Rodentia; Sciuridae
Description: Spermophilus tridecemlineatus (thirteen-lined ground squirrel) tRNA
Rfam family: tRNA
About the family: Transfer RNA (tRNA) molecules are approximately 80 nucleotides in length.
Source: Rfam by way of RNAcentral